GUGGAGCUCAGUUGCUAGAGUGUGAGCCUAGCAUGCUUGAAGCCCUGGGUUCAAGCCCCAGCAC
This 64-nucleotide transfer RNA is filed under the name Rattus norvegicus (Norway rat). It matches the Rfam family "tRNA", at positions 5 to 66 of the family's 71-position model. Rfam says of the family: Transfer RNA (tRNA) molecules are approximately 80 nucleotides in length. Their secondary structure includes four short double-helical elements and three loops (D, anti-codon, and T loops). Lineage: Eukaryota; Metazoa; Chordata; Mammalia; Rodentia; Muridae. The record is from Rfam by way of RNAcentral.